RNAcentral lists this ribosomal RNA (497 nucleotides) under uncultured bacterium. RNAcentral describes it as "partial 16S ribosomal RNA". It matches the Rfam family "Bacterial small subunit ribosomal RNA", at positions 28 to 507 of the family's 1533-position model. The record is from RNAcentral.
GAUGAACGCUGGCGGCGUGCCUAAUACAUGCAAGUCGAGCGAACAGACGAGGAGCUUGCUCCUCUGACGUUAGCGGCGGACGGGUGAGUAACACGUGGAUAACCUACCUAUAAGACUGGGAUAACUUCGGGAAACCGGAGCUAAUACCGGAUAAUAUAUUGAACCGCAUGGUUCAAUAGUGAAAGACGGUUUUGCUGUCACUUAUAGAUGGAUCCGCGCCGCAUUAGCUAGUUGGUAAGGUAACGGCUUACCAAGGCAACGAUGCGUAGCCGACCUGAGAGGGUGAUCGGCCACACUGGAACUGAGACACGGUCCAGACUCCUACGGGAGGCAGCAGUAGGGACUCUUCCGCAAUGGGCGAAAGCCUGACGGAGCAACGCCGCGUGAGUGAUGAAGGUCUUCGGAUCGUAAAACUCUGUUAUUAGGGAAGAACAAAUGUGUAAGUAACUAUGCACGUCUUGACGGUACCUACUCAGAAAGCCACGGCUAACUACGUG